Anguilla anguilla (European eel) is the source of this 674-nucleotide long non-coding RNA. RefSeq lists it as uncharacterized. The transcript has 3 exons. The record is from RefSeq and is a predicted model, not a curated record. NCBI's taxonomy places the organism in Eukaryota, Metazoa, Chordata, Actinopteri, Anguilliformes, Anguillidae.
GUCCCCUGACAAGUUAACGCCUUUCGUCGUACUUGAACUUCCAGUUUCACAUUCGGGAGAUGAUCACCCAGUGUAACCAGUGCCUGGUGCUGCAGUAUGGCCUGGGGAAACAGAGGACAAGAUGAAGCACUCCAUCAGAAAGAUUGGCAAAGUCAUUCUGCAGCAAAUUUUGUUCUGAGGAAAAUCCAAGGGGAAGAACACCAUCUACAGCAUCAUCGACCCGUCUGAUUCCGAUAUGCUGGGGCACCAGAGGGCACGGUCAGCAAGCUCUCCACCCACAACUUCAAGAUCCUCAACAACAUCAUUUUGACAAUACUUGUGCACCCCCGACUACCUUGUGAUGUAACUCAGCAGAAGAGACCACUAAGCAAAUCAGGAUCAUUUUUUUUUUACAGAUUUAACUGAUUUUUAGCUUUUAACACCAUCAUGUCUUACUCAUGAAUGAUAAAUGAUGGCUGUUGUAUAGGAAAACAUCAUUCAUUUAUGAAUUAACAAACCAACAAAGUAAUCAAUAAUUAAAUAAGGGAAUGAGGCAAUACAAGGAUGUAAAACAGUAUGUAAAUACUAAAGGAGAUCAAGCACUUGCCAUACCCUUAAAAAAGCAGCUUAUCACAAAAUGGAUGGUCUACCAACAAACAUAAUAAAUCACAAAUGGCAAUAGACCACUUUUGGUU